Molecule: ribosomal RNA, 300 nt
Filed under: uncultured Glissomonadida
Lineage: Eukaryota; Cercozoa; Glissomonadida
Description: bacterial SSU rRNA
Rfam family: Eukaryotic small subunit ribosomal RNA (bases 108-300)
Source: RNAcentral
GAUUUCUGACAGAGGCUAGGUGCUCGCUUCUUCACGGAAGUGCGGCGCCGUUGUCUGUGUCAUCCUUCUAGAUGACGGGUGUGCUAGGUUUACUCCUGGUGCGCACGGUUGUCUAGAUCUUUUACUUUGAAGAAAUUAGAGUGUUCAAAGCAGGCAUACCGCUUUGCAUACAUUAGCAUGGAAUAAUACUAUCGGACUUUGGUUCUAUUGUGUUGGUCUAGAACUGAAGUAAUGAUUGAUAGGGAUAGUUGGGGGUGCUAAUUCUUGGAUUCGUUGAAGACUAACUUAUGCGAAAGCAUU